This 514-nucleotide ribosomal RNA is filed under the name uncultured bacterium. RNAcentral describes it as "partial 16S ribosomal RNA". It matches the Rfam family "Bacterial small subunit ribosomal RNA", at positions 28 to 523 of the family's 1533-position model. The record is from RNAcentral.
GAUGAACGCUGGCGGCGUGCCUAAUACAUGCAAGUCGAGCGAACAGAUGAGAAGCUUGCUUCUCUGAUGCUAGCGGCGGACGGGUGAGUAACACGUGGGUAACCUACCUAUAAGACUGGGAUAACUCCGGGAAACCGGGGCUAAUACAGGAUAAUAUUUUGAACCGCAUGGUUCAAUAGUGAAAGACGGUUUCGGCUGUCACUUAUAGAUGGACCCGCGCCGUAUUAGCUCGUGGGUAAGGUAACGGCUUACCAAGGCGACGAUACGAAGGCGACCUGGGAGGGUGAUCGGCCACACUGGAACUGAGACACGGACCAGACUCCUACGGGAGGCAGCAGUAGGGAAUCUUCCGCAAUGGGCGAAAGCCUGACGGAGCAACGCCGCGUGAGCGAUGAAGGUCUUCGGAUCGUAAAACUCUGUUGUUAGGGAAGAACAAAUUUGUUAGUAACUGAACAAGUCUUGACGGUACCUAACCAGAAAGCCACGGCUAACUACGUGCCAGCCGCCGCGGUAA